Molecule: small nucleolar RNA, 124 nt
Filed under: Hucho hucho (huchen)
Lineage: Eukaryota; Metazoa; Chordata; Actinopteri; Salmoniformes; Salmonidae
Source: RNAcentral
CCGGUGAUGAUACGAUGAGUCUCUGGGGGUCACUGGGUCAAGGUCACGUUCUGUGUCUCUGGGUUCAGUUCCCCAGAGCAGCGUGUUCUUUUCAGUUGAAGACAUGGGCAUUUGUCUGAGAAGG